Molecule: microRNA precursor, 92 nt
Filed under: Medicago truncatula (barrel medic)
Lineage: Eukaryota; Viridiplantae; Streptophyta; Magnoliopsida; Fabales; Fabaceae
Description: MIR2617 microRNA precursor family
Rfam family: MIR2617 microRNA precursor family
Source: Rfam by way of RNAcentral
AUAUAGUGUGACAUGCCCGUUUGGAAUUUACUCUGAUGUAUGAAUUAUUCACUAACUUUAAUUGAUUUUGGAUAAUGGGAUGUUACAAUGUU